RNAcentral lists this ribosomal RNA (211 nucleotides) under Oscillibacter valericigenes. RNAcentral describes it as "partial 23S ribosomal RNA". It matches the Rfam family "Bacterial large subunit ribosomal RNA", at positions 2057 to 2266 of the family's 2925-position model. The record is from RNAcentral. Lineage: Bacteria; Bacillati; Bacillota; Clostridia; Eubacteriales; Oscillospiraceae.
AGAUACCAGUUACCCGCAACUAGACGGAAAGACCCCAUGGAGCUUUACUGCAGCUUAAUACUGGAAUUCGGUAACCCAUGUACAGGAUAGGUGGGAGGCUUGGAAGCAGAGGCGUCAGCUUUUGUGGAGCCGCCGGUGGGAUACCACUCUUGGAUUGCUGAAUUUCUAACCUGCGGCCGUGAAUCCGGUCGGGGGACACUGUUAGGCGGGC